RNAcentral lists this small nuclear RNA (106 nucleotides) under Carlito syrichta (Philippine tarsier). The record is from RNAcentral. Lineage: Eukaryota; Metazoa; Chordata; Mammalia; Primates; Tarsiidae.
GUGCUUGCUUCGGCAGCACAUAUACUAAAAUUGGAAAGAUACAGAGAAGAUUAGCAUGGCCCCGUGCAAGGAUGACAUGCAAAUUCGUGAAGCGUUCCAGUUAUUU